Molecule: ribosomal RNA, 800 nt
Filed under: Kocuria sp.
Lineage: Bacteria; Bacillati; Actinomycetota; Actinomycetes; Micrococcales; Micrococcaceae
Description: bacterial SSU rRNA
Rfam family: Bacterial small subunit ribosomal RNA
Source: RNAcentral
AGUCGAACGCUGAAGCACCAGCUUGCUGGUGUGGAUGAGUGGCGAACGGGUGAGUAAUACGUGAGUAACCUGCCCUUGACUCUGGGAUAAGCCCGGGAAACUGGGUCUAAUACUGGAUGCUACAUGUCACCGCAUGGUGGUGUGUGGAAAGGGUUUACUGGUCUUGGAUGGGCUCACGGCCUAUCAGCUUGUUGGUGAGGUAAUGGCUCACCAAGGCGACGACGGGUAGCCGGCCUGAGAGGGUGACCGGCCACACUGGGACUGAGACACGGCCCAGACUCCUACGGGAGGCAGCAGUGGGGAAUAUUGCACAAUGGGCGAAAGCCUGAUGCAGCGACGCCGCGUGAGGGAUGACGGCCUUCGGGUUGUAAACCUCUUUCAGCAGGGAAGAAGCCACAAGUGACGGUACCUGCAGAAGAAGCGCCGGCUAACUACGUGCCAGCAGCCGCGGUAAUACGUAGGGCGCAAGCGUUGUCCGGAAUUAUUGGGCGUAAAGAGCUCGUAGGCGGUUUGUCGCGUCUGCUGUGAAAGCCCGGGGCUUAACCCCGGGUGUGCAGUGGGUACGGGCAGACUAGAGUGCAGUAGGGGAGACUGGAAUUCCUGGUGUAGCGGUGGAAUGCGCAGAUAUCAGGAGGAACACCGAUGGCGAAGGCAGGUCUCUGGGCUGUUACUGACGCUGAGGAGCGAAAGCAUGGGGAGCGAACAGGAUUAGAUACCCUGGUAGUCCAUGCCGUAAACGUUGGGCACUAGGUGUGGGGGACAUUCCACGUUUUCCGCGCCGUAGCUAACGCAUUAAGUGC